Molecule: non-coding RNA, 331 nt
Organism: Cinara cedri
Lineage: Eukaryota; Metazoa; Arthropoda; Insecta; Hemiptera; Aphididae
Source: the annotation of a GenBank genome assembly
ACGUAUAUGUAUAAUUUUAGUAAGUUUAUGUUCUGUAAUUGUGUUAUUAUUAUUUUUAUGUCUUAUCUUUUUGUGUAAUUAUGUGAAUAAUACGCAACUUUCGCUCAUAUCGUACUGUUCUGGCUGCCCGUUCGACACACACACGGUUCGCGAAUUUUACGUUCCGGUAAAAAGUUUUUGUUGUUUUUGCGUGCCAUAUCGAACAGUGGCUCCGACGGACUCUAGGCUCCUAGGACAAGGGCUUCGAUAGGCAUCACAGCAAUCCGUAGCAAAUAAUACGUGCCUACGUCUAACAACCGUAUUAAUUCGGAAACGUCUCGUCCGUAACAUU